This 204-nucleotide non-coding RNA is filed under the name Parabacteroides sp. CAG:409. RNAcentral also lists the same sequence under 1 other name. Lineage: Bacteria; Pseudomonadati; Bacteroidota; Bacteroidia; Bacteroidales; Tannerellaceae. The record is from RNAcentral.
GUAGCUUUGUGGCGGAAAGGUGUAACAGCCAGUUGUCUCUGUCUGUUAGUAAAAGGGAAUCAGGUGCGAAUCCUGAGCUGUACCCGUAGCUGUAUGUCCAUCAAAGCCUUCGGUUUCUUCAUGCCACUGAACGUUGGAGUGUUCGGGAAGGUGUCCGAAAAUAGGCGGAUAAGUCAGAAAACCUGCCUUGCCCUUAAUCAGUAA